UUUACUUAAGAGCCUUUAGGGAAGGAUUUUGUCAAAGGCUUUCUGAAAAUGUGUCAGACAGCAGAAGGAGGAGAAGCCAUGUGACCCCAAGGAUUGCAGCUGCUACUCUUCGGAGGAAUUGUAGGGUGCUGGUGUAUGAUGGUUCUCUUCUGAAGAGGGAGUAAUCCACCUGCUGUCUGGCAUGGCAUCCUGAGAGAUAUGUUGCCUGACUGGGCCUAUAUCAGAGAGGGACUGUCAAGGAUCAUCCAGCCUUUUGACUACCACCCCAUGCUACUCAUCCAUGUUGGCACCAAUGAUACUGUGAGGAUGUCAUUCUGGGAAGAAGAACUGCUAAGAAGAGAUGGGGGUCCACCUAUCAAGGAAAGGGAAGAGCAUCUUUGGAUACAAACUGGCAGACCUAGUAAGAAGGGCUUUAAACUAGGUUCAAUGGGGACAGCUGAUGAAAACCCACAGGUAAGACCUGGGAGAAAGGUCAGGAUCUGGGCUGGGGCAUGAGCCAUUGCAGCAGGAAAAAGGGAGAGACAAGAGAGAACAUAGUGGGAAAUCAAAUCAGUAUCAUAGAUGUCUGUAUGGGGACAUAAUGCAAUAUGUAUGAGGAAUAAGCAGUAACUUUGAAAUGCUACUUAAUAAAUACAAUGAUGACACAGUUGGCCUCACAGACUUGAUAAGAUGAUAUGCAUGGCUGGAAUAUUGGUAUAGAGGGGUAUAGCUUGCUCAGGAAGGACAGGCAAGGGGGAAAGGGGAGGAGGUGACGCCUUAUUUAUUAAACAUGUUUACACUUCUACUUCCAUCUUAAUCUUGGUAUGAGACAGAUUCAUUGAAAGUCUCUGGGUAAAGAUAAAAAGGGUAAAAACAAGGGUGAUGUCAUGUUAGCAGUCUACUACAGAUUACUUCCAUUUGACAGAGCAUAAACUCUGUCAAAUGAAGUGUAAACCUAUAACCAGGGAAACCAAAAAAGAAUGUGAAGAACAGCUAGCCAAAAACUCAAACACCAAUAGCAACUCAAAAUUAAGAGCAAUUUAAAAUACAUUAGAAGCAGGAAGCCUAAACAACCAAUUGGGCUACUGGAUGAUUGAGAUGCUAAUGGAAGGCCAGCUAUCUUUACAGCCAGACAUUAAGAGGAUAGCUUUACAGUUAGACAUUAGGAGAAACUUCAUAAUCUAAAUCUCC
Molecule: non-coding RNA, 1170 nt
Organism: Pelodiscus sinensis (Chinese soft-shelled turtle)
Lineage: Eukaryota; Metazoa; Chordata; Testudines; Trionychidae
Source: RefSeq, a predicted model, not a curated record